UCCGGUUUAUCACCGGCAGUCUCCAUAGAGUCCUCGCCAUUACGCGUUAGUAACUAUGAACAAGGGUUGCGCUCGUUGCGGGACUUAACCCAACAUCUCACGACACGAGCUGACGACAGCCAUGCACCACCUGUGCACUGGCCCCGAAGGGAGGCCCUAUUUCUAGGGCUUUCCAGUGCAUGUCAAGCCUUGGUAAGGUUCUUCGCGUUGCGUCGAAUUAAACCACAUGCUCCGCCGCUUGUGCGGGUCCCCGUCAAUUCCUUUGAGUUUUAGCCUUGCGGCCGUACUCCCCAGGCGGGGCGCUUAAUGCGUUAGCUUCGGCACAGAAGGGGUCGAUACCCCCCACACCUAGCGCCCAUCGUUUACGGCAUGGACUAC
RNAcentral lists this unclassified non-coding RNA (378 nucleotides) under uncultured bacterium. RNAcentral describes it as "contains 16S-23S intergenic spacer region". The record is from RNAcentral.